GCCAGGUGUGGUGGUGCAUGCCUGUAGUCCCAGCUACUUGGGAGGCUGAGGCACGAGAAUUACUUGAGCCCAGGAGGCAGAGGUUGCAGUGAUCCAAGAUCAUGCCACUGCACUGCACCCUGGGCGAUACAGUGAGAUCCUGUCUCAU
RNAcentral lists this non-coding RNA (148 nucleotides) under Chlorocebus sabaeus (green monkey). The record is from Rfam by way of RNAcentral. Lineage: Eukaryota; Metazoa; Chordata; Mammalia; Primates; Cercopithecidae.